GACGAACGCUGGCGGCGUGCUUAACACAUGCAAGUCGAGCGGAAAGGCCUUUCGGGGUACUCGAGCGCCGAACGGGUGCGUAACACGUAAGUAACCUUCCCCAGACUUUGGGAUAACCCUCGGAAACGGGGGCUAAUACCGGAAACGACACAGCUUCGCAUGGGGUCUGUGUGGAAAGUUUUGCGGUUGGGGAUGGGCUCGCGGCCUAUCAGCUUGUUGGUGGGGUGAUGGCCUACCAAGGCGAAGACGGGUAGCCGGCCUGAGAGGGCGACCGGCCACACUGGGACUGAGACACGGCCCAGACUCCUACGGGAGGCAGCAGUGGGGAAUAUUGCACAAUGGGCGGAAGCCUGAUGCAGCGACGCCGCGUGAGGGAUGACGGCCUUCGGGUUGUAAACCUCUUUCAGCAGGGACGAAGCGUAAGUGACGGUACCUGGAGAAGAAGCGCCGGCCAACUACGUG
RNAcentral lists this ribosomal RNA (462 nucleotides) under uncultured bacterium. RNAcentral's name for it is "partial 16S ribosomal RNA". It matches the Rfam family "Bacterial small subunit ribosomal RNA", at positions 28 to 507 of the family's 1533-position model. The record is from RNAcentral.